This 698-nucleotide ribosomal RNA is filed under the name uncultured bacterium. Its description in RNAcentral is "bacterial SSU rRNA". It matches the Rfam family "Bacterial small subunit ribosomal RNA", at positions 129 to 845 of the family's 1533-position model. The record is from RNAcentral.
CCCCAUACCGGGGGAUAACAGCUGGAAACGGCUGCUAAUACCGCAUAAGCGCACAGAGCUGCAUGGCUCGGUGUGAAAAACUCCGGUGGUAUGGGAUGGGCCCGCGUCUGAUUAGGCAGUUGGCGGGGUAACGGCCCACCAAACCGACGAUCAGUAGCCGGCCUGAGAGGGCGACCGGCCACAUUGGGACUGAGACACGGCCCAAACUCCUACGGGGGGCAGCAGUGGGGAAUAUUGCACAAUGGGGGAAACCCUGAUGCAGCGACGCCGCGUGAGCGAAGAAGUAUUUCGGUAUGUAAAGCUCUAUCAGCAGGGAAGAUAAUGACGGUACCUGACUAAGAAGCCCCGGCUAACUACGUGCCAGCAGCCGCGGUAAUACGUAGGGGGCAAGCGUUAUCCGGAUUUACUGGGUGUAAAGGGAGCGUAGACGGCAAGGCAAGUCUGAUGUGAAAACCCAGGGCUUAACCCUGGGACUGCAUUGGAAACUGUCUGGCUCGAGUGCCGGAGAGGUAAGCGGAAUUCCUAGUGUAGCGGUGAAAUGCGUAGAUAUUAGGAAGAACACCAGUGGCGAAGGCGGCUUACUGGACGGUAACUGACGUUGAGGCUCGAAAGCGUGGGGAGCAAACAGGAUUAGAUACCCUGGUAGUCCACGCUGUAAACGAUGAAUGCUAGGUGUUGGGGAGCAAAGCUCUUCGGUG